Molecule: long non-coding RNA, 336 nt
Organism: Sinocyclocheilus grahami
Lineage: Eukaryota; Metazoa; Chordata; Actinopteri; Cypriniformes; Cyprinidae
Exons: 3
Source: RefSeq, a predicted model, not a curated record
CUGAAUUCUGGCACUAAUAUCCUGUACUGGAGAACUACUAGAGCCACACUCGGCUCUAAAGCAGUCAAACCUGUAGUCUUGAAGAACAUACGGAUUGAAGGUGUGGCGUACACAUCAGAAUGUUUUCCAUGUAACCCUGGGACAUUCAGUUGCGCCCCGGGCUCCUCCUCCUGUGAGCCCUGUCCACGGGACACGUACUCUGGCCGAGGGGCCAGCUCCUGCACACCUUGCAACACAAAAACACACUUCGCUUCAGAAGGCUCUGCCGCGUGCAAAAGUAGACCGCCAUGCUCAGAAAAAGACUACAUCCAGACAUACAGCACCUGUGAUAAGGAU